UACGUAGGGGGCAAGCGUUGUCCGGAAUCAUUGGGCGUAAAGAGUGUGUAGGCGGCCAGAAAAGUCCGCUGUGAAAACUCGAGGCUCAACUUCGAGCUGUCGGUGGAAACUUUCUGGCUAGAGUCCGGAAGAGGAGAAUGGAAUUCCUGGUGUAGCGGUGAAAUGCGCAGAUAUCAGGAAGAACACCCGUGGCGAAGGCGGUUCUCUGGGCAGUAACUGACGCUGAGGAGCGAAAGCGUGGGGAGCGAACAGG
This 253-nucleotide ribosomal RNA is filed under the name uncultured bacterium. RNAcentral's name for it is "partial 16S ribosomal RNA". It matches the Rfam family "Bacterial small subunit ribosomal RNA", at positions 524 to 776 of the family's 1533-position model. The record is from RNAcentral.